Candidatus Omnitrophica bacterium CG1_02_46_14 is the source of this 75-nucleotide non-coding RNA. The record is from Rfam. NCBI's taxonomy places the organism in Bacteria, Pseudomonadati, Candidatus Omnitrophota.
GACCCCAUCGUCUAGCCUGGCUUAGGACAUCACCCUUUCACGGUGAUGACACGGGUUCGAAUCCCGUUGGGGUCG